This 988-nucleotide ribosomal RNA is filed under the name uncultured eukaryote. RNAcentral's name for it is "bacterial SSU rRNA". It matches the Rfam family "Eukaryotic small subunit ribosomal RNA", at positions 608 to 1429 of the family's 1831-position model. The record is from RNAcentral.
AGUUGUUGCAGUUAAAAAGCUCGUAGUUGGAUUUUGGGGCGAAGUAGAAGGGGUGUUGAGGUGGGUAGGUGGUCCGAAAGGGUUGUCUAUUCAUUUUGGCAUUCAGGCUGCUUCCUUUGGGUAAAGAUCCGGUCUGCCGAGAUGGUGUGUACUGGUCUUUCCGCCCUUCCUUCUGGUUUUUGCUACCUUCUGCUCUUAACUGAGCGGGAGAAUAGCUCCAGAUCGUUUACUUUGAAAAAAUUAGAGUGUUCAAAGCAGGUACCAAAAACUUUACGCCUUGAAUACAUUAGCAUGGGAUAAUAGAAUAGGACAUCGCUUCUACUUUUCGUUGGUUUAUAGAAGCGGCGUAAUGAUUAAUAGAGAUAGUUGGGGGUAUUCAUAUUUAAUUGUCAGAGGUGAAAUUCUUGGAUUUAUGAAAGAUGAACUCCUGCGAAAGCAUUUAUCAAGGAUGUUUUCAUUAAUCAAGAACGAAAGUUAGGGGAUCGAAGACGAUCAGAUACCGUCGUAGUCUUAACCAUAAACUUUGCCGACCAGAGAUCAGGAGACGUUACAUGGAUGACUCCCCUGGCAUCUUGCGAGAAAUCACAAGUCUUUGGGUUCUGGGGGGAGUAUGGUCGCAAGGCUGAAACUUAAAGGAAUUGACGGAAGGGCACCACCAGGAGUGGAGCCUGCGGCUUAAUUUGACUCAACACGGGGAAACUUACCAGGUCCAGACAUAGUAAGGAUUGACAGAUUGAGAGCUCUUUCUUGAUUCUAUGGGUGGUGGUGCAUGGGCCGUUCUUAGUUGGUGGAGUGAUUUGUCUGGUUAAUUCCGUUAACGAACGAGACCUCAGCCUGCUAAAUAGUUACGUGAAUUGUCUAAAUUAUGGGGUGAAGGGAGUGUUCAAUGGAAGGGGUGAUAGGUGGCUUCUGGCUAUCUGUUGUCUUUUCCCCACUCUUGGAUCCUUGAUUAAUUCACGGAUAUACUUCUUAGAGGGACUAUUCGAUG